ACAUGCAAGUCGAGCGGGGUGAUGGUGCUUGCACUAUCACUUAGCGGCGGACGGGUGAGUAAUGCUUAGGAAUCUGCCUAUUAGUGGGGGACAACAUUUCGAAAGGAAUGCUAAUACCGCAUACGUCCUACGGGAGAAAGCAGGGGAUCUUCGGACCUUGCGCUAAUAGAUGAGCCUAAGUCGGAUUAGCUAGUUGGUGGGGUAAAGGCCUACCAAGGCGACGAUCUGUAGCGGGUCUGAGAGGAUGAUCCGCCACACUGGGACUGAGACACGGCCCAGACUCCUACGGGAGGCAGCAGUGGGGAAUAUUGGACAAUGGGCGGAAGCCUGAUCCAGCCAUGCCGCGUGUGUGAAGAAGGCCUUAUGGUUGUAAAGCACUUUAAGCGAGGAGGAGGCUACUUUAGUUAAUACCUAGAGAUAGUGGACGUUACUCGCAGAAUAAGCACCGGCUAACUCUGUGCCAGCAGCCGCGGUAAUACAGAGGGUGCAAGCGUUAAUCGGAUUUACUGGGCGUAAAGCGCGCGUAGGCGGCUAAUUUAGUCAAAUGUGAAAUCCCCGAGCUUAACUUGGGAAUUGCAUUCGAUACUGGUUAGCUAGAGUGUGGGAGAGGAUGGUAGAAUUCCAGGUGUAGCGGUGAAAUGCGUAGAGAUCUGGAGGAAUACCGAUGGCGAAGGCAGCCAUCUGGCCUAACACUGACGCUGAGGUGCGAAAGCAUGGGGAGCAAACAGGAUUAGAUACCCUGGUAGUCCAUGCCGUAAACGAUGUCUACUAGCCGUUGGGGCCUUUGAGGCUUUAGUGGCGCAGCUAACGCGAUAAGUAGACCGCCUGGGGAGUACGGUCGCAAGACUAAAACUCAAAUGAAUUGACGG
RNAcentral lists this ribosomal RNA (869 nucleotides) under uncultured Acinetobacter sp. RNAcentral's name for it is "bacterial SSU rRNA". It matches the Rfam family "Bacterial small subunit ribosomal RNA", at positions 53 to 916 of the family's 1533-position model. The record is from RNAcentral. Lineage: Bacteria; Pseudomonadati; Pseudomonadota; Gammaproteobacteria; Moraxellales; Moraxellaceae.